RNAcentral lists this long non-coding RNA (388 nucleotides) under Lactuca sativa (garden lettuce). Its description in RNAcentral is "long non-coding RNA (LSAT_LNC008967)". The record is from RNAcentral. Lineage: Eukaryota; Viridiplantae; Streptophyta; Magnoliopsida; Asterales; Asteraceae.
UUCUUUCUCCAAUUCCUCAAGCCUCUGUAAAAUAUCCUGAUCGAUAAAAUCAUACACGUUAUGCCCAUCGAGUAUUUCAGGUAUGUUAUCUUCCUUCCAUUCAUCAUCAGCUAAAAGAUAAUGUUUCUUCAAACUUGCAGAGUAAACACCCGCUCCACCAUUUUCAUUUUCAUUCUCCCUUUCCAACUUCCUCUUCACCUUUUCAGCUUCCAUGGCUUUAGCUUCAACAACAGCUUCAGGUAUACAAACAGGUCUUUCCUUCUGAUCACGUGGCUUUGGCAUUGCAACAUGAAACCGAUUCAAACACUCGUUUAUCUUCUUUGACUUCAUUUUGACUUCAACUCUCUGGUCCAACAACCUCUCACAAGCUGCGUUUUUUACCGCGAUU